GAAAUGCGAUAAGUAAUGUGAAUUGCAGAAUUCAGUGAAUCAUCGAGUCUUUGAACGCACAUUGCGCCCCCUGGCAUUCCGGGGGGCAUGCCUGUCCGAGCGUCAUUUCAACCAUCAAGCCCCCGGGCUUGUGUUGGGGACCUGCGGCUGCCCGCAGGCCCUGAAAACCAGUGGCGGGCUCGCUGUCACUCCGAGCGUAGUAGUAUCACCUCGCUCAGGGCGUGCUGCGGGUUCCGGCCGUUAAACCACCCAUUACCCCAAGGUUGACCUCGGAUCAGGUAGGAAUACCCGCUGAACUUAA
RNAcentral lists this unclassified non-coding RNA (301 nucleotides) under uncultured Chaetomiaceae. RNAcentral describes it as "partial contains 5.8S ribosomal RNA, internal transcribed spacer 2, and large subunit ribosomal RNA". The stretch from base 1 to 105 matches the Rfam family "5.8S ribosomal RNA", at positions 50 to 154 of the family's 154-position model. Lineage: Eukaryota; Fungi; Ascomycota; Sordariomycetes; Sordariales. The record is from RNAcentral.